CGGGGAUGGAUGGGGUGUUAAGAUAGGGUUUCACUAUGAAGCUCUGGCUGUCCUGGAACUCAAAGAGAUUUGCCAACCUGCCUCCUGAGUGCUGCCAUCAAAGAUGUGCACCGUCAUGCCUAGCUCAUUGGCGGGAAUAAGAACAGAGACAAUGAAACAAGGAUGAACUGCACCUUAUCCAACAAAAUGGAGCUUUGCUUCAAUCUGAAAAUAAUAUCCAACGUACAUGUCCUGCCACUGAAAUUUUAAAGCACGGAUAAUGUUAUUGUCUAUUUUUACCUCUUCCUCCAGGUUUGUGCUGACAAAAGCCACAACAAACCAAAAAAACACAAACAAUAAGCAUUUCCUGCUGGUGGUCACAGAGAAGGGAGGGGGAGCAUGAAUAACGCAGCAUUUCUACAGGGCUUUCCAUGAGCCCAUUCCCGGCUGCCUUCCAGGAGAACCACGCCUUCCCGCACAUCCACUUACGGCGUUCCACAGGAAGCCCCUCUGUGUCAUUGCCAUCCAGGAGCGGUUCACUUGGCCACACGUGAUCGUGUCUCUAAAGCUGAGAGAACACUGCGGAAGAGGAGGCGGGAAGAGCGUGAGAGCCGGGAGAGCCGGAGGACAGGAAGGGCUGUGGAAUAGCUCCGUCUGGGCACAGUCCACAGCAGCGGCAGACGCCUGUGAAGAGCGUAAGAGCCGGAGGACGGGAAGGCCCGUGGAAUAGGCAUCUCAGGCAGGCUGACGUCAUCCCGAGAACAGAGGACCAUCAAAUAAAUAGGUCAACAGACCAUGUCUGUGAACCAGAAGUCACAAUAAUAACGUAAAAGGAACUACAUCAAAACACUAUAUAAACACUAAAUACGUGCAAUCUUAGAGACCUGGACAAGACAACCUCACCAAGUACCCAAGGAACAGACGUUACGAACAGUAACAAUACCAAGAUGCCAAUUCUAUCUGAAGUCUACAGAUUCAAUGAAUUCUGUCAAAUUUCCAAAGGCUCCUUUUACAGAAAUGGAAGCCAGUUCUCAAAUUCACAUGAAAUUGCAACAAGUCUCAAACAGCCAAAACAACUUCUAACUGACUUCAAACUGAAAACAAAGCGGCGACAAUCAAAAUAUGAAUAACAUACAGAUCAAUGAGUUGGGAUGGGGAGUUCAGAAAUGCAUUUACAUAAACGCUAGUUUAUAUUCAACAGGAAGUCAAACCGUUCAGCGGAGAAAGAAUGGUUUCUCAAUAGACAGUGCUGAGACAACUGGGCUCCCAGAUAUAAAGAAUGGAUACAGGACACUUCUAUGCCUUACUCCAUAUAAAAAAAAACUUUACCCAAAAUGAGCCAAUGACCUAAAUAUAGGAACUAAAACUAAAAACUCCCUAGGAAAAAACAUAAAGGUAAAUCUUAUGAUAUCAAAAUCACAAACAAUACAGGAAAAGAUAACUCAGAUUUCAUCAAAAUGUAAAACUUCCACACAUUAAAGAACCCUGCAAAGGGGUGAACGGUCA
Molecule: non-coding RNA, 1485 nt
Organism: Myodes glareolus (Bank vole)
Lineage: Eukaryota; Metazoa; Chordata; Mammalia; Rodentia; Cricetidae
Source: RefSeq, a predicted model, not a curated record